UUAACAUUAAAACAACAAAUAAAUAUAUUAUAAAAUAACAAAACCAACAAUGUUUCGCUCAUCGCACAAAUAUAGUUUUCAAUAUAGUUUCUAUGUGCGCUUAUACCAUUGUUGAUACUAUAAUAACCAAUCAUAUAAGCCGACGAAAUCAUAAUUAUAUAAGUAGACAAGGUUUCAAACAUUUCCAAUACAUUCAAUAACAAGUUAGGGCACAGCCCCUCAGGGCACAGCCCUGUGGUGCAAAAGACAUGAGUGAGAUUAUCUCACGCCUUGUUGAAGUGUUGGAUUCGAUUCCUGAUACAUGGAAUUAGACUCCUUGUAAGCGCAGUGUACAGACAGCUCUUGUUUCCUGACCCGUUAAGGCACAUCCCGCGAUUUACCUCACUCACAAAGCUCUAAGGACGGGACAGUGAAGGCCCUCAAAGUUGGGAUUCAACCUUUUAAUAACAAGUUAGGGCAAGUCAUUCAUUGCUUACUCGAAAAGUAGAAUUUUGACAAAAAUUAUGAAAUCACACUUUUGAGAAUUCCACUCUCAUAACUCACAAGCUUGAAAUAAAAAUUUAACAUCAAACACAAAUACAAAUAUAUAAUUUUAUUGCAUUAAUAUAUUCAUCAUAAAUCUAGAAUCUUAUUGCAAAUUGCAUAAAGACGGGGUACAAGGAUAUGAUGCUCAGAAUGGGUUUUCAUUCUAUGAUCACUAUGAUUGUGGAUGGACAACAGGAAAGGUCUCAAUUUAAGCGUGUCGAAAAUUUCUAACAAAAUCAAAAUAAAUAACUUCGAUGUCCUUCAAAUUUUAGAUUUACGUAAUGUCUCAAAGUACAACCUUUUUCUGUCAUCAAUCAAAGACCAAGCUGUGAAAAUUGUGUGCAAUCUAAAAAACUACUCAUUAGCCAAUAUGAAAACUGAUUUCUAAAGUUAAUACAUUAUUAAUCCAGAAGAGCUAUAAUUCUUAGAAAAUUACAUUGCACGGACUGAUGACUUAAAGCAAC
RNAcentral lists this long non-coding RNA (989 nucleotides) under Olea europaea subsp. europaea. The record is from RNAcentral. Lineage: Eukaryota; Viridiplantae; Streptophyta; Magnoliopsida; Lamiales; Oleaceae.